AGGGUUGUGGCUCAGUGGUAGAGCGCUUGCCUCACAAGUGUGAGACACUGGGUUCAAUACUCAGCACCACAU
Molecule: transfer RNA, 72 nt
Filed under: Ictidomys tridecemlineatus (thirteen-lined ground squirrel)
Lineage: Eukaryota; Metazoa; Chordata; Mammalia; Rodentia; Sciuridae
Description: Spermophilus tridecemlineatus (thirteen-lined ground squirrel) tRNA
Rfam family: tRNA
About the family: Transfer RNA (tRNA) molecules are approximately 80 nucleotides in length.
Source: Rfam by way of RNAcentral